Long non-coding RNA from Dreissena polymorpha, 720 nucleotides. RefSeq lists it as uncharacterized. The record is from RefSeq and is a predicted model, not a curated record. Lineage: Eukaryota; Metazoa; Mollusca; Bivalvia; Myida; Dreissenidae. The transcript is spliced from 3 exons.
UGUAUUUUUAUCGAAAGUGAAAAACAUUUUAAUAUUGUUAAAAACUAAAGCAUCUUACCUUCAAACUAAUUGUGCAUGUGUUUUGAAAUCAAACUUAUUUUUCAAAUCGGAAGUUAUUUUUGUCGUGUUUUAUUCAUUUUCUUCCUACAGCUUUAUCGAACGAUUGAUUGAUGUACAUAAAAAUGCGUAUGAGAGUUAAAACUUUUUUCUUUUAAAAUGUCAAACAAUAUCACCAUUGGGAAUCCUAUGUCUUCUUGAAUGGUUUGAGCGUGUUUGAGUACAAAUGUACAGCGACCCGAAGGCUCAUUAGAUGGGAGUGGGAUUAUUGCAACUAGGAGAAUGCCCGCUUGGUUUUGCGAAAUAAGUUUUGAAUUGUUUUUACAACCAGGUUGAUUGAUACGACCAGGACUGUCUGUACCCGUAUGACGAUACACCGUACACGUUCAGUGUUUCAUAAACACAGUCCAGUUAUGAACAGGGAGGAUAAUAGUCUCUAAGGCUUUUGAUUAUUCAGCUUUGAAAAUGGCAGAAGGAGACGUGGUAUAUACGCGGUCAGAGACUGGAAGCGAUCAUAGACACAGCGGCCUGUACAGCCGUCACUCUCGAAAUUAUGUGGAAAGUGUGUCCGUGGAGAUCUGUACUAUAAUGACCCGGCUGGGAUACGGCGAGGAGAUCAGGCGGUGGCGGGUUGAGAAAUAUAGGAGGCAAGAUAGGCUGAUA